Molecule: ribosomal RNA, 606 nt
Filed under: uncultured bacterium
Lineage: Bacteria
Description: bacterial SSU rRNA
Rfam family: Bacterial small subunit ribosomal RNA
Source: RNAcentral
AGAGUAUGAUCCUGGCUCAGAACGAACGCUGGCGGCGCGCCUAAUACAUGCAAGUCGAGCGAGAAGGUGUAGCAAUACACUUGUAAAGCGGCGAACGGGUGAGGAAUACAUGGGUAAUCUACCAUCGAGUGGGGAAUAACCAACCGAAAGGUUGGCUAAUACCGCGUACGCUUCCGAAUCUUCGGGUUUGGAAGGAAAGCCGUGCUGUGAGUACGGCGCUCUUUGAUGAGCUCAUGUCCUAUCAGCUUGUUGGUAGGGUAACGGCCUACCAAGGCUUUGACGGGUAGCUGGUCUGAGAGGACGAUCAGCCACACUGGCACUGCGACACGGGCCAGACUCCUACGGGAGGCAGCAGUAAGGAAUAUUGCGCAAUGGGCGAAAGCCUGACGCAGCGACGCCGCGUGGGGGAUGAAGGUCUUCGGAUUGUAAACCCCUUUCGGGAGGGAAGAUGGAGCGAGCAAUCGUUCGGACGGUACCUCCAGAAGCAGCCACGGCCAACUUCGUGCCAGCAGCCGCGGUAAUACGAAGGUGGCAAGCGUUGUUCGGAUUCACUGGGCGUACAGGGUGUGUAGGCGGUUUGGUAAGCCUUCUGUUAAAGCUUCGGGC